Molecule: long non-coding RNA, 932 nt
Organism: Thalassophryne amazonica
Lineage: Eukaryota; Metazoa; Chordata; Actinopteri; Batrachoidiformes; Batrachoididae
Exons: 3
Source: RefSeq, a predicted model, not a curated record
CUUCCCAUGUUACAGGUUAUGUUGCGGUAGCAGAAGCUGGGAUUUUCCCAGCAUGUACUGGUUAGCAUGUUUGCUGAUAAAACUAUCAGUUUAUACCAUUUCUCGCAUGUUAUGUGGUUCACAUUGAUUGUUGACUGUUCUUUAUGUCUUUUAAUCUUCUGAGUUACCAUUGUAACCUGAAGUAUUUGUUUUGCCACACCAUGAGUGUGAGUGUUAGCACAGAUACCUUCCAUCAGCACACGCACAGCGUUAGUGUUUAAAGUGUAGGUGACACGUAAUCCCAUGUUUUCAUGAAUAUUUAAGACUAACAUUAAAAGACAGUUUAAAAUUUCUCCUUUCCUGGUGCGCAGUUCUUGAAGAGAUAAAUAUUCACAUUUUGAACUGCGCACCACUAAAAACCAGGAACCGGCAAGUGCCAACAUUGGACAUGAAGGAGGAGGAAGUGGCGUCAGUACGAGAACCAUUAUCUUAACAGCCCCAUUUAUUUAUGGAUUUUCACAGGCUACUAACAGCCCUGUUUCCACAAAGUGGUUCGGGUCAGAGCUGCACUGCAUUUUUGGUGUCAGAACGAUUCAUUUUUGCCGGCAGAAUCUUUGUCAAUUGGCGGGUGGAAACACUUAUAUUGACGAGUGCGUACGCACAGUGUCCGUGGCUUCUCCACUUGGCACAGAGACAAAACUGAGUCUUUUCAGAUUAUUUUAUUGUUUUCUGUAUCAUGGGAUAAUGUUGGUGCGUGCAGACAGACGUUUUGAGCACAUGAAGCGCUGCAAGUCUUUCUUGCAGUGCAAAGUGGCUCAUUAACAAAAGACUCAAUCCAUCAGCUCCAAUAACGGAUUACAGCCGGCGUUGCCGGCACCAAACUCCCGUGUGACAAAUUGACUUUUCUUCAGCCAAGACAGGAGGAAUUAAAUUAUUUUCAGCUGUCGUUUUUA